RNAcentral lists this ribosomal RNA (692 nucleotides) under uncultured bacterium. Its description in RNAcentral is "bacterial SSU rRNA". It matches the Rfam family "Bacterial small subunit ribosomal RNA", at positions 32 to 715 of the family's 1533-position model. The record is from RNAcentral.
AACGCUAGCUACAGGCUUAACACAUGCAAGUCGAGGGGCAGCAUAAAAGUAGCAAUACUUUGGUGGCGACCGGCGCACGGGUGAGUAACGCGUAUGCAACCUACCUAUCAGAGGGGGAUAACCCGGCGAAAGUCGGACUAAUACCGCAUAAAACAGGGGCACCGCAUGGUGCUAUUUGUUAAAAAUUUAUUGCUGAUAGAUGGGCAUGCGUUCCAUUAGGUAGUUGGAGAGGUAACGGCUCACCAAGCCUACGAUGGAUAGGGGAACUGAGAGGUUGGUCCCCCACACUGGUACUGAGACACGGACCAGACUCCUACGGGAGGCAGCAGUGAGGAAUAUUGGUCAAUAGGCGAGAGCCUGAACCAGCCAAGUCGCGUGAAGGAAGAAGGAUCUAUGGUUCGUAAACUUCUUUUGCAGGGGAAUAAAGUGCAGGACGUGUCCUGUUUUGUAUGUACCCUGAGAAUAAGGAUCGGCUAACUCCGUGCCAGCAGCCGCGGUAAUACGGAGGAUCCGAGCGUUAUCCGGAUUUAUUGGGUUUAAAGGGUGCGUAGGUGGUUUAAUAAGUCAGCGGUGAAAGUUUGCAGCUUAACUGUAAAAAUGCCGUUGAAACUGUUAGACUUGAGUGUAAAUGAGGUAGGCGGAAUGCGUGGUGUAGCGGUGAAAUGCUUAGAUAUCACGAAGAACUCCGAUUG